This is a non-coding RNA of Pelobates cultripes (western spadefoot toad), 229 nucleotides long. NCBI's taxonomy places the organism in Eukaryota, Metazoa, Chordata, Amphibia, Anura, Pelobatidae. The record is from the annotation of a GenBank genome assembly.
UUUAUUACAAGGAGAGAGAUACUGGCUCACGGCUCCGUGCUUGUAAAGUUUAAAAGUAACCAGAGUGCUGACGUCACUGAUAAGAUUUGCCCUGUUUGAGGAUGCAUUUCAAGCAUGACAAAUCAAAGAAGACGUCGGGAGGAGCCGAGGUGGAGCAGAGGACGGACAGGAGGUGGGUGUUACAUGAACAGUAACAACCACAAAGCAGCGCUGGAACAAAGGUGGGCAC